Molecule: ribosomal RNA, 851 nt
Filed under: Xanthoparmelia subcumberlandia
Lineage: Eukaryota; Fungi; Ascomycota; Lecanoromycetes; Lecanorales; Parmeliaceae
Description: eukaryotic LSU rRNA
Rfam family: Eukaryotic large subunit ribosomal RNA
Source: RNAcentral
GGGAUUGCCUCAGUAACGGCGAGUGAAGCGGCAACAGCUCAAAUUUGAAAUCUGGCUCCUUCGGGGUCCGAAUUGUAAUUUGUAGAGAGUGCUUCGGGCGAGACCUCGGUCUAAGUCCAUUGGAACAUGGUGUCAUAGAGGGUGAGAAUCCCGUAUGCGACCGUGGCUCGAGCCCAUGUGAAGCCUCUUCGACGAGUCGAGUUGUUUGGGAAUGCAGCUCAAAACGGGUGGUAAAUUUCAUCUAAAGCUAAAUACUGGCUGGAGACCGAUAGCGCACAAGUAGAGUGAUCGAAAGAUGAAAAGCACUUUGGAAAGAGAGUCAAACAGUACGUGAAAUUGUUGAAAGGGAAGCGCUUGCAACCAGACCUGCCCGUAGGCGAUCAGCCGCUGUUCUCAGCGGUGCACUCGCUCUGCGAUCAGGCCAGCAUCGGUUUCGGCGGUCGGAUAAAGGCCUUGGGAAUGUAGCUUCCCUUCGGGGGAGUCUUAUAGCCCUCGGUGUAAUGCGGCCAGCCGGGACCGAGGACCGCGCUUCGGCUAGGAUGCUGGCGUAAUGGUUGUAAGCGACCCGUCUUGAAACACGGACCAAGGAGUCUAACAUCUAUGCGAGUGUUUGGGUGUCAAACCCAUACGCGGAAUGAAAGUGAACGGAGGUGAGAACCCUUAAGGGCGCAUCAUCGACCGAUCCAGAUGUCUUCGGAUGGAUUUGAGUAUGAGCAUAGCUGUUGGGACCCGAAAGAUGGUGAACUAUGCCUGAAUAGGGUGAAGCCAGAGGAAACUCUGGUGGAGGCUCGCAGCGGUUCUGACGUGCAAAUCGAUCGUCAAAUUUGGGUAUAGGGGCGAAAGACUAAUCG